This 635-nucleotide long non-coding RNA is filed under the name Mytilus galloprovincialis (Mediterranean mussel). Lineage: Eukaryota; Metazoa; Mollusca; Bivalvia; Mytilida; Mytilidae. The record is from RNAcentral.
ACUGAACCAGGUGCUCCACAGGGCGCAGCUUUAUACGACCGCAGAGGUCGAACCCUGAACAGUUGGGGCAAGUAUGGACAAAACAUUCAAGCUUGAUUCAGCUCUGAAUUUGGAUUGUGAUCAAAUUUUUGACAUUAUAUGGGUUUUUUACACAAAAAAAAUGUCAAGAUCUUACAAAUCAAUUAAAGAUUUCUUCUUCAAACUUAUUUAAAUUUAAAAUUAAAUAGUUGACACAGCAUAGGUUUCUGACACAGAAUGAAUGUGGUCUAAUGAACUUAAAUUUUUUUUUGCCUUUGAGCAAUUCACUAUGCUGUUGAAUAUUAAUCCUCACAAAAAAAUGUUUGAAGAAAUUUUCUUUUUAAUUAUGAAAUCUGAAAUGAGAACCAGGUGCUCCGCAGGGCGCAGCUUUAUACGACCGCAGAGGUCGAACCCUGAACAGUUGGGGCAAGUAUGGACAAAACAUUCAAGCGUGAUACAGCUCUGAAUUUGGAUUGUGAUCAAAUUUUUGACAUUACAUGGGUUUUUUUUACACAAAACAAAUGUCAAGAUUUUACAAAUCAAUUAAAGAUUUCUUCUUCAAACUUUUUAAAUCUAAAAUUAAAUAGUUGACACAGAAUGAAUGUGGUCUAAUGAAC